GCCUGAUGCAGCAACGCCGCGUGAGGGACGACGGCCUUCGGGUUGUAAACCUCUUUUAGCAGGGAAGAAGCGAAAGUGACGGUACCUGCAGAAAAAGCACCGGCUAACUACGUGCCAGCAGCCGCGGUAAUACGUAGGGUGCAAGCGUUAUCCGGAAUUAUUGGGCGUAAAGAGCUCGUAGGCGGUUUGUCGCGUCUGCUGUGAAAACCCGAGGCUCAACCUCGGGCCUGCAGUGGGUACGGGCAGACUAGAGUGCGGUAGGGGAGAUUGGAAUUCCUGGUGUAGCGGUGGAAUGCGCAGAUAUCAGGAGGAACACCGAUGGCGAAGGCAGAUCUCUGGGCCGUAACUGACGCUGAGGAGCGAAAGGGUGGGGAGCAAACAGGCUUAGAUACCCUGGUAGUCCACCCCGUAAACGUUGGGAACUAGUUGUGGGGUCCAUUCCACGGAUUCCGUGACGCAGCUAACGCAUUAAGUUCCCCGCCUGGGGAGUACGGCCGCAAGGCUAAAACUCAAAGGAAUUGACGGGGACCCGCACAAGCGGCGGAGCAUGCGGAUUAAUUCGAUGCAACGCGAAGAACCUUACCAAGGCUUGACAUAUACGAGAACGCUGCAGAAAUGUAGAACUCUUUGGACACUC
RNAcentral lists this ribosomal RNA (637 nucleotides) under Microbacterium sp. So2Pw_1234. RNAcentral's name for it is "bacterial SSU rRNA". It matches the Rfam family "Bacterial small subunit ribosomal RNA", at positions 381 to 1029 of the family's 1533-position model. Lineage: Bacteria; Bacillati; Actinomycetota; Actinomycetes; Micrococcales; Microbacteriaceae. RNAcentral also lists the same sequence under 1 other name. The record is from RNAcentral.